AGCGAACGCUGGCGGCAGGCUUAACACAUGCAAGUCGAACGCCCCGCAAGGGGAGUGGCAGACGGGUGAGUAACACGUGGGAACGUACCCUUUGGUUCGAAAUAACUUGGGGAAACUCAAGCUAAUACCGGAUAAGCCCUUAUGGGGAAAGGUUUACUGCCGAAGGAUCGGCCCGCGUCUGAUUAGCUAGUUGGUGAGGUAAUGGCUCACCAAGGCGACGAUCAGUAGCUGGUCUGAGAGGAUGAUCAGCCACACUGGGACUGAGACACGGCCCAGUCUCCUACGGGGGGCAGCAGUGGGGAAUAUUGGACAAUGGGGGCAACCCUGAUCCAGCCAUGCCGCGUGAGUGAUGAAGGCCUUAGGGUUGUAAAGCUCUUUUACCCGGGACGAUAAUGACUGUACCGGGAGAAUAAGCCCCGGCUAACUUCGUGCCAGCCGCCGCCGUAA
This 447-nucleotide ribosomal RNA is filed under the name uncultured bacterium. Its description in RNAcentral is "partial 16S ribosomal RNA". It matches the Rfam family "Bacterial small subunit ribosomal RNA", at positions 29 to 523 of the family's 1533-position model. The record is from RNAcentral.